GACGAAGGAUUCAAGCGUUGUCCGGAUUUACUGGGUUUAAAGGGUGCGUAGGCGGAAAGCUAAGUCAGUGGUGAAGGCCCGCAGCUCAACUGCGGAACUGCCAUUGAAACUGGCCUUCUUGAAUACAGUGGAGGUAGAUGGAAUAUAACAUGUAGCGGUGAAAUGCUUAGAUAUGUUAUAGAACACCGAUUGCGAAGGCAGUCUGCUACACUGUCAUUGACGCUGAGGCACGAAAGCGUGGGGGAGCGAACA
Molecule: ribosomal RNA, 252 nt
Filed under: uncultured bacterium
Lineage: Bacteria
Description: partial 16S ribosomal RNA
Rfam family: Bacterial small subunit ribosomal RNA
Source: RNAcentral